CAUUAGACAAAAUAGGAUUAUGCAUCCGUCACCACAGCGCCAACGCCGCGGCCAUUUUCACUUUCCAGUAUCCACCCGCGGCGGCGCUCCUCCUCCUCACUGUUGAAUCCCGCCCCACCUGCUCCGCCUUCGAACUGCUCGUCUGCUUGCCCCACCCCCCUCUCGCUCACGGGCGCGGCGGCUCCGGAAGAAAUCGGGGCAGGGCCUGGCCGCGGGAGCUCCUCGACGAGCUUGGAGACUUCGGCGCUGACUUGGGCCGGACAAAUCGGUGCCCGCCUGCUCUUGGAUUCACGGGUCGAGCUCAGGGCGCGUCACCUGUUCGACGGAAUGCUCAACAAGACCGCGGCGAGCGGCAAGGGUCACUUCGGCGACCUCACCGACGACCUCCUCCGGCACGUCUUGUCCUUUCUGCCUGCUGCUGAUGCCCUGCAGACUUGCGUGCUCGACACUGGGUGGCGUGACCAUUGGAGGCGCACCACCAGCCUGCCCCUCAUCUUUGACCAGUCGAGUUUCCCGAGCUCUGAACGUUUCAAACAGCUGGUGAAGCUCUUCAUCCACAUCCGUGGGAACUCACCUCUCGACAAGUGCAAGAUUGUUGCCUGUCUCGAUGACGUGGAGGAGCGCACAUACACAAAUACCAUUCUGUUGAUCGAGUACGCUCUGAAGUGCCAAGUUAAGGAGCUCCUACUCAGUGUUGCUGUUGACAAAGACUUUGAGUUUGAGCCACUAAUACUUGAUGCGCCUCUCAUCUCUCAGCACUUGAAGAUCCUACACCUUGAGCGGUUUGAAUUAAAACGCUCCACUCUGAAUUUCUCGCGCUGCUCGGUAUUGGAGGAACUAGAGAUGCAAGAUUGCAACAUUGAUGCACGCAGGAUAUCUUCCAAAUCGCUAAAGCGUCUCUGCAUUACCGACUUUUGUUCCUUCCCUAUGAAGUUUCACAUUCGGAUAUUUGCUCCGGGUCUUAUCUCACUGCAACUUGAUAAUUUUGAUGGCUUGACCCCUUCACUUGAAUACAUGCCAUCUCUAGAAACAGCUUAUGUUUGGCUUCACAAUAGUUGCUAUGAUUCUUGUCAUAGUAACCGGCAGAACUGUGAGUAUGAGGACUGUAGCUGUCAUGCUUAUCCAGUUGAUGAGGGUGUGCUUCUCCAUGGUUUGUCCAAUGCUGUGAAUUUGGAGUUGUUUAUCUAUAGAUGGGAUUUAGAAUGCUGCCCCAUAUUUGACAAACUAAAGACUCUAUCACUCAAUGAGUGGUUUACGACUAUUGACCUACCGUGCAUUCUCCAACACUCUCCAGUUCUUGAGGUGCUCACUCUUCAGCUUGGUAGCACUGAGAGCAACAGGAGCAGAAGAAAAGAUAGAGCAAUCAUUUGUAUGCUCGCACCUUAAGGUUGUCAACAUUGAAUGUAGAAAGGUCGAUGAGGGAGUUCACAAAAUUCUGAAGUUCUUGAGUAAAUGUGGCAUACUUCGUGAUCAAAUUAGCAUCACUCACCGUUUCAGUUUCCAGAAGCCUAUGCGUCCCUUGCCUCGGUCUACCACGGAACCAGGCGGACUCUCCAGUUUCCACCCGUGACAGCGCUUGAGAUCUGACACAUGCUCGCUUGUGAUGGUGGUCUGAAGCCUCAUGUCUCUCUGAAUAUGUCUGUAACGACAGUCCUAUUAGUUGUUACCACCAUAUUCAGUUUCCAGCUUUCUAUCCUUUGGUACUGUACUGGAAGCCUGCGUGUUUGUUGUUUGGCGAAACUCAUGAAAAUGGAUUUUAACUGCUGGGCAUUCUUUUGGAUGAGUAGUUGGACCUGAGCUUGGUUUAAAACCAGGGGAUAACACCUUUUGUUGCAUCUUCUCUUACCCUGUUGCAGUGUCUGUGUUUCAAAUCUUCGAGUUUGCCUGUCUGAUCGCACCACCCAGGAAGUUUGCUGGAGAAAAGAACCGCCCUGACAGAAACAAAGGCCAGGCAAAACAAUUUUUUUGUCUAAAUGGUCUGCUCAGCUUGAUGCAAAAUUCUUCUUGAUAUAUUGAUACUGAAUCACAAGAUGAGAAGCAUCUAUUUAUACCUCA
RNA transcript from Triticum aestivum (bread wheat), 2055 nucleotides. It is a transcript of the gene named putative FBD-associated F-box protein At5g53635, with no coding region annotated. The record is from RefSeq and is a predicted model, not a curated record. NCBI's taxonomy places the organism in Eukaryota, Viridiplantae, Streptophyta, Magnoliopsida, Poales, Poaceae. The transcript is spliced from 5 exons.